This 172-nucleotide ribosomal RNA is filed under the name Chamaedrilus sphagnetorum. RNAcentral's name for it is "5.8S ribosomal RNA". The stretch from base 1 to 153 matches the Rfam family "5.8S ribosomal RNA". Rfam says of the family: 5.8S ribosomal RNA (5.8S rRNA) is a component of the large subunit of the eukaryotic ribosome. The record is from RNAcentral. Lineage: Eukaryota; Metazoa; Annelida; Clitellata; Enchytraeida; Enchytraeidae.
AACUCUAAGCGGUGGAUCACUCGGCUCGUGUGUCGAUGAAGAGCGCAGCCAGCUGCGUGAAUUAAUGUGAGUUGCAUGACACAUUGAACAUCGAUAUCUUGAACGCAUAUUGCGGCCUCGGGCAUUCCCGAGGCCACGCCUGUCUCAGGGUCGGUUGAACGUCAAUCGCGAA